Long non-coding RNA from Homo sapiens (human), 525 nucleotides. RefSeq annotates it as ZFY antisense RNA 1. The record is from RefSeq and is marked validated. The transcript is spliced from 3 exons. Lineage: Eukaryota; Metazoa; Chordata; Mammalia; Primates; Hominidae.
AGAAUUUCAGGAAGACACUGAUAAGAACUUGUUUCUCUUGUCCCUGUUUUUGGAACCCAUUUCUUCAGGGCCCCUACCUGGCCUUGCAGGUAAUGUUAUCACAGCUGUAGCUGGACUUUGGAGUGAGUCAGCCUGGUCAGGGAAGGACUUGUUUUUCUUUUUACUUGUUUUUCUUAUAUUUCCUGCUUCAUGAGCAAGAAACAACAAGCUUUACCUUCACAGUAGAAGAGUCCAGCAGAACAAAGUUGGAAGCAGAGGGAGUGAAUCUAAACCUAUGGACAGAUUCAUCUUGGAAACCCUAAGUGAGGCUAAAGGGAGAAAACAAAUUGGAAGGAGAUUUAAAGGAUUCUCAAAUACAAACUGAAGUUUUCAAGAACAGGAUCAUGAAGGACAGUAAAAAUCAGGAAUUGCCAAACUUUGUCACAAUGGCUGUACAACAUCAGUGAGCCGAAGUCAUACCACUGCAUUACAGCCCGGGCGACAGAGAAAGACUCCAUCUCAAAAAAAAAAAAAAAGGAUGGAUGG